GUACAUCAAAUGUAGAAAUAUGUCAGCCUCUUCAGACUUCAUUUAUAGUACUUUCCUGUUGCUAUGGCAAAAUAGAAUGAUUCGCCUUUCUAAAAGCCAAGGAGAGAAACAGAACAUUUAUUGUACAUGGGUUACUUUAUAUUAGAGAAAGACAGGGGCAUCACAAGAAAAGAGCUGCACAGUAGCAUUGUUCUUAUGAUCAUGUUUAAUAAUACAUUUUUUUUCCUUCAGUUUAGUUGCUAACCAUUCAUUGAACCAGACUCACCAGUUUUGAUAACGAUGUUGUUAGGUUGAAGAUUUUAGAUUGAUAGAUGGUUGGUUUGGAGGUUGGAAUGGUGAAUAUUUCUGUUGGUUACUAGAAUGUUAGCUUUUAUUACUAGCAUACACAGUUCAUUUGUUUUCUCAUUCAUCACAGCAGAAAACACUUGUCCCUUUUUUUAGGAACUCAUCUGAGGUCAUCUAAGUAUGCAGUAUGUAUGGGCUCUGAUCAUCCUCCUUUGGGCUUCGUCCAACAGGUCCAUUGUUGUGUUGGGGGCCCAAGAGCUGGAUGCAGUACUCCAGGUGGGGUCUCAUGAGAGCAGAGUAGAGGGAGAGAAUUACCACCCUUGACCUGCUGGUUACGCUCCUUUUGAUGCAGCCCAGGAUACAGUUGGCUUUCUGGGCUGAAGGUGCACACUGCUGGGUCAUGAGGGUUCGGUCAGAUGAAGGUAGGUCAAAGAUUUACUCAGAUAAUACUCAGAUACUUCAAAAGAAGGGGUUGGAAUUAAAGAUCUGCAGGUGAGGCAUGACCUGGUCUCGAGCUUUCUUAAAAAUACUCUUUGCACUCCUACUCAAGUAGUUCAAUGGCCAGAGAAACAACAGUCAUUUAAUUAAUUUAAUUUUAAAGCCAAUCUACAGCAAGAUUUUUUUGGCCAAAUAUAUUGUUACUGAUGAUUCUCUGCUGGUUAGCUUAACCCAGUCUGAGCUUUAUAACACAGCUAAUAAAGUAGUUGGGUUUAACUAGCCCCUAGUAGUUCUAUUAUACUGCACUUCAUCUGUGUAGACUUACAUUUAUGCUUACAAACUUGGUGGUGGCAAUUCCUGCUGCUGCACAAUCAAGUAUGAUUUAAUAUAAAAAGAAAAACAGGUCUGUAGGCUGAAGGCUUAGUCACAUAAUUUAGAUAUAAUUUCAUUUGUUAAACAACUCAGUGAGCUUUGCAGUAAAACAAACUAGAAUUUGAUUACUUACUAUUACUAAAUGUAAUUUAACCUUAUUUAGGAAAGAGCCUCUCUGUAAUGCUUUGCUAAAGCUGAAUAAAUUAAAAUGCUACUGUUGCUCCCAUGACUGUGUCAUUUAAUUUGCAAUCCACUUUCAUACUAGCUAUUUUAAGCAUAAUUGUAUAACAUGCUAUAUCAAUUUUAUAGUAAAAUGAAACUAUCUGUAGCUGUUAUGUUAUAGGGGAAGUUGGUAAUUGUUGUCUUGUGGGAUUCUUUUCAGCUCUUGUUUUCAUAUCAGUAAUGGCAGCUGUCCUUUGAUUUAGAUCAAAGCAAGAACAAAAGCUUCUUAGAAGCGAGAGUCACGUGAAAA
This is a long non-coding RNA of Strigops habroptila (Kakapo), 1567 nucleotides long. The record is from Ensembl. Lineage: Eukaryota; Metazoa; Chordata; Aves; Psittaciformes; Psittacidae.